GAAGAGACCAGAAGUCAUAUACCAAUGAAAAGUCUAUAAUUUGAUAACUUUGAGAUCUCCAUGAGACUCCAAAAUAGAAGCCCUCCAACGAUGAUCCACACAGGAUUGAUCAGGGCCCUUCCCAACUCGACAUGGUGUUGCAGCCUUUUUCGCAAGUGCACUGCCGAUUGUCCUUUACAAGAAUUGAUUGCACCACAGCUUGUACACCUUCAUAACCUCCACUAAGACCUCUUUAGGAACCUUUUUCCAAAAGAUCAUACCACAC
Molecule: long non-coding RNA, 265 nt
Filed under: Elaeis guineensis (African oil palm)
Lineage: Eukaryota; Viridiplantae; Streptophyta; Magnoliopsida; Arecales; Arecaceae
Description: long non-coding RNA (EGUI_LNC055683)
Source: RNAcentral